AGAAGCUUCUAACAACUGACUCUUGCCAAUAACCAUGUGAAUGAGUUUGGAAAAUUGUGGACUUCGAGGACACUGCUGAUGGGAAACCCAAAAGACAUGAAGAGGAAAGCCAGCCUCAUUGCAGCUCUGUUGCAGCACCUAUGAAAGGCCGGGA
Long non-coding RNA from Suricata suricatta (meerkat), 154 nucleotides. RefSeq lists it as uncharacterized. The transcript has 3 exons. Lineage: Eukaryota; Metazoa; Chordata; Mammalia; Carnivora; Herpestidae. The record is from RefSeq and is a predicted model, not a curated record.